RNAcentral lists this ribosomal RNA (1070 nucleotides) under Chryseobacterium ureilyticum. RNAcentral's name for it is "bacterial SSU rRNA". It matches the Rfam family "Bacterial small subunit ribosomal RNA", at positions 376 to 1457 of the family's 1533-position model. The record is from RNAcentral. Lineage: Bacteria; Pseudomonadati; Bacteroidota; Flavobacteriia; Flavobacteriales; Weeksellaceae.
UGAGAGCCUGAUCCAGCCAUCCCGCGUGAAGGACGACUGCCCUAUGGGUUGUAAACUUCUUUUGUAUAGGGAUAAACCUACCCUCGUGAGGGUAGCUGAAGGUACUAUACGAAUAAGCACCGGGCUAACUCCGUGCCAGCAGCCGCGGUAAUACGGAGGGUGCAAGCGUUAUCCGGAUUUAUUGGGUUUAAAGGGUCCGUAGGCGGAUUUGUAAGUCAGUGGUGAAAUCUCACAGCUUAACUGUGAAACUGCCAUUGAUACUGCAAGUCUUGAGUGUUGUUGAAGUAGCUGGAAUAAGUAGUGUAGCGGUGAAAUGCAUAGAUAUUACUUAGAACACCAAUUGCGAAGGCAGGUUACUAAGCAACAACUGACGCUGAUGGACGAAAGCGUGGGGAGCGAACAGGAUUAGAUACCCUGGUAGUCCACGCCGUAAACGAUGCUAACUCGUUUUUGGGACGCAAGUUUCAGAGACUAAGCGAAAGUGAUAAGUUAGCCACCUGGGGAGUACGUUCGCAAGAAUGAAACUCAAAGGAAUUGACGGGGGCCCGCACAAGCGGUGGAUUAUGUGGUUUAAUUCGAUGAUACGCGAGGAACCUUACCAAGGCUUAAAUGGGAAAUGACAGGUUUAGAAAUAGACUUUUCUUCGGACAUUUUUCAAGGUGCUGCAUGGUUGUCGUCAGCUCGUGCCGUGAGGUGUUAGGUUAAGUCCUGCAACGAGCGCAACCCCUGUCACUAGUUGCCAUCAUUAAGUUGGGGACUCUAGUGAGACUGCCUACGCAAGUAGAGAGGAAGGUGGGGAUGACGUCAAAUCAUCACGGCCCUUACGCCUUGGGCCACACACGUAAUACAAUGGCCGGUACAGAGGGCAGCUACACAGCGAUGUGAUGCAAAUCUCGAAAGCCGGUCUCAGUUCGGAUUGGAGUCUGCAACUCGACUCUAUGAAGCUGGAAUCGCUAGUAAUCGCGCAUCAGCCAUGGCGCGGUGAAUACGUUCCCGGGCCUUGUACACACCGCCCGUCAAGCCAUGGAAGUCUGGGGUACCUGAAGUCGGUGACCGUAACAGGAGCUGCC